AACGUAGGACGCAAGCGUUAUCCGGAGUUACUGGGCGUAAAGCGCGUGUAGGCGGCUUGGCAAGUCCUGUGUGAAAGCCCUGGGCUCAACCCAGGAAGUGCGCAGGAUACUGCCGAGCUGGAGUAGCGGAGAGGAUGGCGGAAUACCCGGUGUAGAGGUGAAAUUCGUAGAUAUCGGGUGGAACACCUGUGGCGAAGGCGGCCAUCUGGACGUUCACUGACGCUGAGACGCGAAAGCGUGGGUAGCAAACAGG
RNAcentral lists this ribosomal RNA (253 nucleotides) under uncultured bacterium. RNAcentral describes it as "partial 16S ribosomal RNA". It matches the Rfam family "Bacterial small subunit ribosomal RNA", at positions 524 to 776 of the family's 1533-position model. The record is from RNAcentral.